Molecule: RNA transcript, 2324 nt
Organism: Ziziphus jujuba (common jujube)
Lineage: Eukaryota; Viridiplantae; Streptophyta; Magnoliopsida; Rosales; Rhamnaceae
Gene name: chaperone protein dnaJ 15-like
Exons: 4
Source: RefSeq, a predicted model, not a curated record
UAAAAACAAAGUUUAUAAACAUUGCAACCUAGAACGAUGAUGAUGAAUCCAUCUGCAUCGAUUGGGUAUAUAAUUUGCAUACAUCUUUUUUUUUUAUAAUUUCAUAAGUAUGACAAAGCCUUAUACCUAAACGAUGAUGGUAGGUUGGAGUCCAAAUUUCUUGCCUUAUUUUGGUCUUUGAUUUUCAUUUGAAGUUCAUAUUGAAGCUUGAAAAUUUGCCUUUCUUAUUCUUUAAACUUAUAAAUACGCAAUGGGUUUUAGAAAAUUGCAAAUGUACAAUCUAUAUUUUUCAAUCCCUUCGACUCUUCCUUUGGCAUACUACAAAAGUAAUUAAAGACAUAUGGCUCACUACAAUGCUUUCUCUCUUGAAAACUUUUUUUGAAGCGCUUUUUCUCUUGAAAACUUAUCAAUCUACAAUAGACGUGCCUAAACUAUACCCAACCUAUACUACCACUCCCAAAGUCUUAGCUUUUCAACUCUUCCUUGAUCCACACUUGUCCUUUUUUAUUUUUCAUUUAUUUAUUUAUUAUUUUUUUUCUUUUCUUUUUUCUUUUGUUGGCUAGUGAAUAAAGUUUCAUACUAAGCUCUAUGAGCUUGCUUCAAGCCACAGAGUUUUUCUCGAUUUGUAUACAUGAGUAAGUUUAUUACAGCUCUCAAAUCCUUUUAGUUGCUCUGCAUGUGUUUCUCUUCUUUUUCUUCUUGCAAAUAACUAUUGAGGAACACACUCGAGACAUCCAUUUAAAAAGAACUUUAAUCUAAAUAUCUAUGGAUAUUGGCUAGAGCGUCCUUAUAGAAAUGUCAAAUCUAGCAAAGGUUUUAAAGUCAAAUUCCCAUUGUUUAAGAGUAGCUUUGUGCCACCCACCUAGGCAUGUUUCUUAAGAUGGCACCAAUUUUCAUCUAGCUUAUUCUUUUAAGAUCCAGUUAGUUUCAACCCAAAUUUUUUUUAUUUUGGGCCACAUAAACAUGUCAGAAAUUACAUAUACAUGGGGGGCCAUAUGAUGAUGGGUCUACGUUAUCAAGCCUUUCCACAAAAGUGCCCAACAGCAUUUAAUAAAAGGGGAAUUUGGCCCAAUACCCCCAUAGGACCGAGCUUCAUGAAUUUUGCCCCCUCAAUUCAUUUCUUUUUUAAUCUACCCCUCCAAUCUUUUAAAAUCCCAAAAUACCCUUAUGUUUUUUCUUUUUAUAUGUUUUUUUCUUUUCUUUCUUCGACUUUUCCCCUCCAUCUCUUUAUCCAUAACCAGACCUUAGGAGCCCUCUGUUUCCUUUCAUGAAUCGGUCGGAUUGUAAGCGUGGAGACUGCACGUUUUGAAGGAGAUGGUGAAGAGGCGACUCAGAGAGAAAACUGCAGGAUUUUAGAGAGCCCUAGAAGCAGAAGCAGAAGCAACAGGCAUUUCUUGCUGAGAGAUAUGUAUGAUGAUAUGAUGCUGGAUGGAGUACAGCCAACUAGGGAUACAUUCCAUUCUGUCAUCAGUUAGUGGAAAGGUGCUUUCAUGUUUGUUAUCAUGGACUUUCAUUCUUUCUGGAAUUUUCCGUUUGGUUGAUUUUGUUUUGUUGCAGGUGGAUAAGCAAAAUGCUCAUUUCUUUGGUGUUACGAUCAAUGAGCAACAAGCCGAGUGUGGUAUUGUAGUAAGAGUUACUUCAAAUGCACAAAGCAAAUUUAAGUUACUUUAUUUCGAGCAAGAUGUGAAUGGCGGUUAUGGUUUGGCCCUACAGAUGGAUAAUUGAUCCUCCUCUGGAGGUCACUGUACCAUCAAAACGCACACCAUGGCCUGAUGCCCCUCCUGAACUCCCUACCAAUGAAAAUGUAGUGUUGGGCAUCCAAGAGCAUGCUGUAAAGCAUCCUACAAAGACCCGCACAUCUAGAUCAAAGAGACGAAGCAAGAGAAAGCAUGACACAAGAACGGUGGACACACAGGUUGCUUUAAAGCAUUCUGAACAAAUUUGAAAAUCUUAGCACGAAGACGGCUAGAGAUGCAUGCUGCUGUGUGAAUUUUAGGCAUCAUUCUUCAGCAUCAUAAAAAAAUUUGAAUUGCAAAGGCUUAUUAGCACAGAGGCAGAUGGCCUAACCUGGUAUAUGUGAAAAGAAUCCUUCAUGCUGGGCCAGUUGAUAACAUGCAUUGGAGUUUGAAUUUUCACUUAAUUUUUCACAAAUUUUUUCUUUCUUUUAUAUAUUUUUGUUUGGGAUAUCAGGAUUCUGGUUCAGCAUGAGGUAUGCCAGCAAAGUCUUGCCGUGUCUGCUACCUUGUAGGACUUUGUAUCCAAUAUGUUUCGAAUCUUAUACAUAAUCUUGGAACAUAGGAAUUAUAGAGUUGUGUUCAGCUGGA